AUACGUAGGGUGCAAGCGUUAAUCGGAAUUACUGGGCGUAAAGCGUGCGCAGGCGGUGAUGUAAGACAGAUGUGAAAUCCCCGGGCUCAACCUGGGAACUGCAUUUGUGACUGCAUCGCUGGAGUGCGGCAGAGGGGGAUGGAAUUCCGCGUGUAGCAGUGAAAUGCGUAGAUAUGCGGAGGAACACCGAUGGCGAAGGCAAUCCCCUGGGCCUGCCCUGACGCUCAUGCACGAAAGCGUGGGGAGCAAACAGGAUUAGAUCCCCUGGUAGUCCACGCCCUAAAUGAUGUCAACUGGUUGUUGGGUCUUCACUGACUCAGUAACGAAGCUAACGCGUGAAGUUGACCGCCUGGGGAGUACGGCCGCAAGGUUGA
This 374-nucleotide ribosomal RNA is filed under the name uncultured bacterium. Its description in RNAcentral is "bacterial SSU rRNA". It matches the Rfam family "Bacterial small subunit ribosomal RNA", at positions 523 to 897 of the family's 1533-position model. The record is from RNAcentral.